UACGUAGGGUGCGAGCGUUAAUCGGAAUUACUGGGCGUAAAGCGUGCGCAGGCGGUUUGUUAAGACAGAUGUGAAAUCCCCGGGCUCAACCGAGGAAGUGCAGUCGAAACUAUCUAGCUAGAGGACGGCAGAGGAAGGUGGAAUUCCAAGUGUAGAGGUGAAAUUCGUAGAUAUUUGGAGGAAUACCUGUGGCGAAGGCGGCCUUCUGGACCGGUCCUGACACUGAGACGCGGAAAAGCGUGGGGAGCAAACAGG
This 255-nucleotide ribosomal RNA is filed under the name uncultured bacterium. RNAcentral's name for it is "partial 16S ribosomal RNA". It matches the Rfam family "Bacterial small subunit ribosomal RNA", at positions 524 to 776 of the family's 1533-position model. The record is from RNAcentral.